AGAGUUUGAUCAUGGCUCAGGAUGAACGCUGGCGGUCUGCUUAACACAUGCAAGUCGAACGAACUCUUCGGAGUGAGUGGCGGACGGGUGAGUAACGCGUGAGAAUCUGCCUGUGGGUCGGGGACAACUACUGGAAACGGUGGCUAAUACCGGAUGAGCCGAAAGGUAAAAGAUUUAUUGCCCACAGAUGAGCUCGCGUCUGAUUAGCUAGUUGGUAAGGUAAAAGCGUACCAAGGCGACGAUCAGUAGCUGGUCUGAGAGGAUGAGCAGCCACACUGGGACUGAGACACGGCCCAGACUCCUACGGGAGGCAGCAGUGGGGAAUUUUCCGCAAUGGGCGAAAGCCUGACGGAGCAAGACCGCGUGGGGGAGGAAGGUUUUUGGACCGUAAACCCCUUUUGUCAAGGAAGAAGCUCUGACGGUACUUGACGAAUAAGCCUCGGCUAACUCCGUGCCAGCAGCCGCGGUAAUACGGAGGAGGCAAGCGUUAUCCGGAAUGAUUGGGCGUAAAGCGUCUGUAGGUGGCCAGCUAAGUCUGCUGUUAAAGAUCACAGCUCAACUGUGGGAAGGCAGUGGAAACUGGCAAGCUAGAGGUUGGUA
RNAcentral lists this ribosomal RNA (600 nucleotides) under uncultured cyanobacterium. Its description in RNAcentral is "bacterial SSU rRNA". It matches the Rfam family "Bacterial small subunit ribosomal RNA", at positions 8 to 653 of the family's 1533-position model. The record is from RNAcentral. Lineage: Bacteria; Bacillati; Cyanobacteriota.